GUGCUCGCUUUGGCAGCUCAUAUACCAAAACCAGAACGAUACAGAGGAGAUUAGCUUGGCCCCUGCCCAGACUAUACUGACAAACGGUAGCUACAGCUACACUUU
Small nuclear RNA from Suricata suricatta (meerkat), 105 nucleotides. NCBI's taxonomy places the organism in Eukaryota, Metazoa, Chordata, Mammalia, Carnivora, Herpestidae. The record is from Ensembl.